UGACGUCAAGUCCUCAUGGCCCUUAUAGGUGGGGCUACACACGUCAUACGAAUGGCUGGUACAAAGGGUUGCCAACCCGCGAGGGGGAGCCAAUCCCAUAAAGCCAGUCGUAGUCCGGAUCGUAGUCUGCAACUCGACUACGUGAAGUCGGAAUCGCUAGUAAUCGUGGAUCAGAAUGUCACGGUGAAUACGUUCCCGGGUCUU
Molecule: ribosomal RNA, 204 nt
Filed under: uncultured Rhodoferax sp.
Lineage: Bacteria; Pseudomonadati; Pseudomonadota; Betaproteobacteria; Burkholderiales; Comamonadaceae
Description: partial 16S ribosomal RNA
Rfam family: Bacterial small subunit ribosomal RNA
Source: RNAcentral